RNAcentral lists this ribosomal RNA (253 nucleotides) under uncultured bacterium. RNAcentral's name for it is "partial 16S ribosomal RNA". It matches the Rfam family "Bacterial small subunit ribosomal RNA", at positions 524 to 776 of the family's 1533-position model. The record is from RNAcentral.
UACGUAGGGUGCGAGCGUUGUCCGGAAUUACUGGGCGUAAAGAGCUCGUAGGUGGUUUGUCGCGUUGUUCGUGAAAACUCACAGCUCAACUGUGGGCGUGCGGGCGAUACGGGCAGACUGGAGUACUGCAGGGGAGACUGGAAUUCCUGGUGUAGCGGUGGAAUGCGCAGAUAUCAGGAGGAACACCGGUGGCGAAGGCGGUUCUCUGGGAAUGACCUGACGCUGAGGAGCGAAAGUGUGGGGAGCGAACAGG